GCAAACUUGGUCAUUUAGAGGAAGUAAAAGUCGUAACAAGGUUUCCGUAGGUGAACCUGCGGAAGGAUCAUUAAAGAGUUAGGGUCCCCCGGGGCCCGAACCUCCCACCCCUUGACGUCGCGAAUAAAUGUUGCCUUGGCUCGGCCGGUCCCCCGUUCCGCGGGGGGCGUCGGGGCUAUCCAGCCCCGGCAGCGCCAGCCAGGGUCCCCAACCAAACCCUUUAGUCAAUCAUGCGGUCAGAGUGUAAAAACACAAUCAAACAAAACUUUCAACAACGGAUCUCUUGGUUCUGGCAUCGAUGAAGAACGCAGC
RNAcentral lists this unclassified non-coding RNA (312 nucleotides) under uncultured fungus. RNAcentral describes it as "partial contains small subunit ribosomal RNA, internal transcribed spacer 1, and 5.8S ribosomal RNA". The stretch from base 1 to 73 matches the Rfam family "Eukaryotic small subunit ribosomal RNA", at positions 1759 to 1831 of the family's 1831-position model. Lineage: Eukaryota; Fungi. The record is from RNAcentral.